GUGUGUCUGAGUGACUGUAUGCCUGUAACUGAGUGUCUGUGUGUGUGACUGUCUGCCUGUAACUGUGUGUCUGUGUGACUGUCUGCCUGUACCUGUGUGUAUGACUGUCUCCUGUAACUGAGCGUGCGUAACUGUCUGCUUGUACCUGUGUGUGUGUGAUUGUAUGCCUGCAACUGAGUGUGUGUGUGUAUGUGUGUGUGUGUGACUGUCU
Molecule: non-coding RNA, 211 nt
Organism: Pelobates cultripes (western spadefoot toad)
Lineage: Eukaryota; Metazoa; Chordata; Amphibia; Anura; Pelobatidae
Source: the annotation of a GenBank genome assembly